RNAcentral lists this transfer RNA (65 nucleotides) under Neaxius acanthus. RNAcentral's name for it is "tRNA-Pro". It matches the Rfam family "tRNA". Rfam says of the family: Transfer RNA (tRNA) molecules are approximately 80 nucleotides in length. Their secondary structure includes four short double-helical elements and three loops (D, anti-codon, and T loops). Lineage: Eukaryota; Metazoa; Arthropoda; Malacostraca; Decapoda; Strahlaxiidae. RNAcentral also lists the same sequence under 1 other name. The record is from RNAcentral.
CAGAGGAUAGUUUAGAUUAAGAUAUUAGUUUUGGAUACUAAAGACGAAAGCAAUUUCUCCCCUGA